RNAcentral lists this ribosomal RNA (301 nucleotides) under uncultured bacterium. RNAcentral describes it as "partial 16S ribosomal RNA". It matches the Rfam family "Archaeal small subunit ribosomal RNA", at positions 459 to 759 of the family's 1478-position model. The record is from RNAcentral.
CAGCCGCCGCGGUAAAACCAGCAGCCCAAGUGGUGGUCGCGUUUAUUGGGCCUAAAGCGCUCGUAGCCUGACCGGUAAGUUCUCCGUGAAAUCGGGUCGCCCAACGAUUCGGCUUGCGGGGAAUACUGUCGGUCUUGGGGCCGGGAGACGCCGAGGGUACUCCGGGGGUAGCGGUGAAAUGCUGUAAUCCUCGGGGGACUACCAGUGGCGAAGGCGCUCGGCGAUAACGGGCCUGACGGUGAGGGGCGAAAGCUGGGGGCGCGAACGGGAUUAGAUACCCCCGUAGUCCCUGUCUCUUAUA